RNAcentral lists this ribosomal RNA (2901 nucleotides) under Escherichia coli. RNAcentral's name for it is "23S ribosomal RNA". It matches the Rfam family "Bacterial large subunit ribosomal RNA". Lineage: Bacteria; Pseudomonadati; Pseudomonadota; Gammaproteobacteria; Enterobacterales; Enterobacteriaceae. The record is from RNAcentral.
UUAAGCGACUAAGCGUACACGGUGGAUGCCCUGGCAGUCAGAGGCGAUGAAGGACGUGCUAAUCUGCGAUAAGCGUCGGUGAGGUGAUAUGAACCGUUAUAACCGGCGAUUUCCGAAUGGGGAAACCCAGUGUGUUUCGACACACUAUCAUUAACUGAAUCCAUAGGUUAAUGAGGCGAACCGGGGGAACUGAAACAUCUAAGUACCCCGAGGAAAAGAAAUCAACCGAGAUUCCCCCAGUAGCGGCGAGCGAACGGGGAGGAGCCCAGAGCCUGAAUCAGUGUGUGUGUUAGUGGAAGCGUCUGGAAAGGCGCGCGAUACAGGGUGACAGCCCCGUACACAAAAAUGCACAUACUGUGAGCUCGAUGAGUAGGGCGGGACACGUGGUAUCCUGUCUGAAUAUGGGGGGACCAUCCUCCAAGGCUAAAUACUCCUGACUGACCGAUAGUGAACCAGUACCGUGAGGGAAAGGCGAAAAGAACCCCGGCGAGGGGAGUGAAAAAGAACCUGAAACCGUGUACGUACAAGCAGUGGGAGCCUCUUAAUGGGGUGACUGCGUACCUUUUGUAUAAUGGGUCAGCGACUUAUAUUCUGUAGCAAGGUUAACCGAAUAGGGGAGCCGAAGGGAAACCGAGUCUUAACUGGGCGUUAAGUUGCAGGGUAUAGACCCGAAACCCGGUGAUCUAGCCAUGGGCAGGUUGAAGGUUGGGUAACACUAACUGGAGGACCGAACCGACUAAUGUUGAAAAAUUAGCGGAUGACUUGUGGCUGGGGGUGAAAGGCCAAUCAAACCGGGAGAUAGCUGGUUCUCCCCGAAAGCUAUUUAGGUAGCGCCUCGUGAAUUCAUCUCCGGGGGUAGAGCACUGUUUCGGCAAGGGGGUCAUCCCGACUUACCAACCCGAUGCAAACUGCGAAUACCGGAGAAUGUUAUCACGGGAGACACACGGCGGGUGCUAACGUCCGUCGUGAAGAGGGAAACAACCCAGACCGCCAGCUAAGGUCCCAAAGUCAUGGUUAAGUGGGAAACGAUGUGGGAAGGCCCAGACAGCCAGGAUGUUGGCUUAGAAGCAGCCAUCAUUUAAAGAAAGCGUAAUAGCUCACUGGUCGAGUCGGCCUGCGCGGAAGAUGUAACGGGGCUAAACCAUGCACCGAAGCUGCGGCAGCGACACUAUGUGUUGUUGGGUAGGGGAGCGUUCUGUAAGCCUGUGAAGGUGUACUGUGAGGUAUGCUGGAGGUAUCAGAAGUGCGAAUGCUGACAUAAGUAACGAUAAAGCGGGUGAAAAGCCCGCUCGCCGGAAGACCAAGGGUUCCUGUCCAACGUUAAUCGGGGCAGGGUGAGUCGACCCCUAAGGCGAGGCCGAAAGGCGUAGUCGAUGGGAAACAGGUUAAUAUUCCUGUACUUGGUGUUACUGCGAAGGGGGGACGGAGAAGGCUAUGUUGGCCGGGCGACGGUUGUCCCGGUUUAAGCGUGUAGGCUGGUUUUCCAGGCAAAUCCGGAAAAUCAAGGCUGAGGCGUGAUGACGAGGCACUACGGUGCUGAAGCGACAAAUGCCCUGCUUCCAGGAAAAGCCUCUAAGCAUCAGGUAACAUCAAAUCGUACCCCAAACCGACACAGGUGGUCAGGUAGAGAAUACCAAGGCGCUUGAGAGAACUCGGGUGAAGGAACUAGGCAAAAUGGUGCCGUAACUUCGGGAGAAGGCACGCUGAUAUGUAGGUGAAGCGACUUGCUCGUGGAGCUGAAAUCAGUCGAAGAUACCAGCUGGCUGCAACUGUUUAUUAAAAACACAGCACUGUGCAAACACGAAAGUGGACGUAUACGGUGUGACGCCUGCCCGGUGCCGGAAGGUUAAUUGAUGGGGUUAGCGGUAACGCGAAGCUCUUGAUCGAAGCCCCGGUAAACGGCGGCCGUAACUAUAACGGUCCUAAGGUAGCGAAAUUCCUUGUCGGGUAAGUUCCGACCUGCACGAAUGGCGUAAUGAUGGCCAGGCUGUCUCCACCCGAGACUCAGUGAAAUUGAACUCGCUGUGAAGAUGCAGUGUACCCGCGGCAAGACGGAAAGACCCCGUGAACCUUUACUAUAGCUUGACACUGAACAUUGAGCCUUGAUGUGUAGGAUAGGUGGGAGGCUUUGAAGUGUGGACGCCAGUCUGCAUGGAGCCGACCUUGAAAUACCACCCUUUAAUGUUUGAUGUUCUAACGUGGGCCCCUUACCGGGGUUGCGGACAGUGUCUGGUGGGUAGUUUGACUGGGGCGGUCUCCUCCUAAAGAGUAACGGAGGAGCACGAAGGUUGGCUAAUCCUGGUCGGACAUCAGGAGGUUAGUGCAAUGGCAUAAGCCAGCUUGACUGCGAGCGUGACGGCGCGAGCAGGUGCGAAAGCAGGUCAUAGUGAUCCGGUGGUUCUGAAUGGAAGGGCCAUCGCUCAACGGAUAAAAGGUACUCCGGGGAUAACAGGCUGAUACCGCCCAAGAGUUCAUAUCGACGGCGGUGUUUGGCACCUCGAUGUCGGCUCAUCACAUCCUGGGGCUGAAGUAGGUCCCAAGGGUAUGGCUGUUCGCCAUUUAAAGUGGUACGCGAGCUGGGUUUAGAACGUCGUGAGACAGUUCGGUCCCUAUCUGCCGUGGGCGCUGGAGAACUGAGGGGGGCUGCUCCUAGUACGAGAGGACCGGAGUGGACGCAUCACUGGUGUUCGGGUUGUCAUGCCAAUGGCACUGCCCGGUAGCUAAAUGCGGAAGAGAUAAGUGCUGAAAGCAUCUAAGCACGAAACUUGCCCCGAGAUGAGUUCUCCCUGACUCCUUGAGAGUCCUGAAGGAACGUUGAAGACGACGACGUUGAUAGGCCGGGUGUGUAAGCGCAGCGAUGCGUUGAGCUAACCGGUACUAAUGAACCGUGAGGCUUAACCU